Molecule: long non-coding RNA, 334 nt
Organism: Sinocyclocheilus grahami
Lineage: Eukaryota; Metazoa; Chordata; Actinopteri; Cypriniformes; Cyprinidae
Exons: 3
Source: RefSeq, a predicted model, not a curated record
GUGUGUGACACAGAUGUAAAGAGCUGCAUGAAGAGAAACCAUCUCAGAGGAGAGUAUUCAGCAUGUAUUGUGAAUGUAUAUUUCCAUAACUGUUUCAGAUUCACUAUUGUUUAUUUAUUUAUCAAUUUCAGUUAGGACUCAAUGCUGGCACAUUCUGAAGGAACUUGUUUAUUUUUGUUCACAAAUGGUCCGUGCGUUUGAGGAUUAAUAGCUAAUUGCAGUUUCAAAUGCUUCGUCAUUGUUGGAAAUGGUCGCUUAAGUCUGGUAUUAAAAACAUCUGACCGUGCCAAAGGAGCUCUUACCAACACCUGGCAAGUUAAGAUAAAUGUGUUUU